Long non-coding RNA from Rosa chinensis, 575 nucleotides. RefSeq lists it as uncharacterized. The record is from RefSeq and is a predicted model, not a curated record. NCBI's taxonomy places the organism in Eukaryota, Viridiplantae, Streptophyta, Magnoliopsida, Rosales, Rosaceae. The transcript has 2 exons.
AUAGAUCUAGAAAUCGGGAAAAACCCGAUCUUUUCUUCCUCUUCCUCCUUCCUUUCGCGCACAGUAACCGGAGAAGGAAAAUCGGCAAGUUCUUCGUCGUCGAUCCACCACAGGUCAUCCCACCGGUCGGGAAAGCUUCCUCUCUCCCUCCUCCUUCAUCUCAGAAAUCCUUGUGGUCAUGGUUGCUAUUGAGGUCCUGAUCAUGUUCCUAACCUUUAUGCAACUCGAUUUGGCUGGUGGAGGAAGAAUUUGAAGGUGAACAGUAGGGUGAACAGUGACGUCGGGUUCUCUUGCUUUUGGGUUGAAAUUCCGGCCAAAUCCCUUGGUUUUAGUUGUUGUUGCAAGUAUAGAUAUUGUUGGGUUUGUUGUAGUGAUGCUUUUGGUGUAAUUUGAGUCGCCGGGUAUGGGAGUUGGUGUGGUGGUGGUGGUGAGGAGGCUCAGUCAGCCCCUCAAAAUGCAUUAUUUUAAUUUUGUUUAAUUUUUGAGUUAUACCUAAGGUUUGAGGAUGCUUGGUUAUAGAGAUUUCAUGAAAAUUUGAUGUUGGACAUUGUUUUAUAAAUAUUAAUAUUUGAAUC